Anguilla anguilla (European eel) is the source of this 880-nucleotide long non-coding RNA. RefSeq lists it as uncharacterized. The transcript is spliced from 3 exons. The record is from RefSeq and is a predicted model, not a curated record. Lineage: Eukaryota; Metazoa; Chordata; Actinopteri; Anguilliformes; Anguillidae.
UCCUUUCUUUUUUUUUUUUUGGUCACAUGCAGUCCGUUCGCCCAGCUCCACGUACAUUCAAUCCUGCGCGAUCAGCAUGAUAAAUGCAACCUCCUUACCGGAAUAUAAUACUCCAGAGUGGGAGUACUAUUAUGACUACCUGGACCCGGUUUUUGUAGAUGAAACCAAAUUGAAAUUUAACAAGUAUUCCGUCGUCAUAAUAUUCUGGGUUGGCAUGGCUGGAUUUGUGGUUCUCCUCUUCCUUAUUUUAUUGCAUCUGUCUCGUUCUGGGAAUACAAACGUGGGUCACAAUUCUAAGAAAUCGUGUCUGUGUUGAGGAUGUGGAUUCACAGAUUGGCUGAAUAAAUCUUGUCAUCACAUUAAAGUGUGAAUAAUACAGGUAUUCACAGCUGAGAAGAUUACCGCAGUCGGUAGGCCUACUGGUGAAGGCUGCCAUUUAACGCAAAAGGAAAACCAUCACACUGGAAGAUAACUACGUUUUUCAAGUCACAUAGCGGCCAUUUUUUAUUGUUUUUAAGUUAACCUGGCUGUGAAAAUGAAUUCAUAGGCAUGUUACCAUGACAAGUUACUGGACAGAUGAAGGUUGUAGAGUGUCAGAGCUCCUGAAAUGCUAACAAUUAAGUAAUAAACGUGAUUACAAAUAAUUAUUUGUGUAUUGUGAGCCUCCACUGAAGUGUUUCUUGGCAUACUUUAACAUAAUAAAACCAUGAUAUCUUUUGAAUUUGCUGUAAUGUUAGUAAGUUUAUAUCUAAGUUUAAUCUCUGAAUUUGUGUACAGUGUAUAUUUUGGUUAUGGACAAUUCUUACUCUUCCUACAAUUUAAAAAAGUGGAACAGAAAUGAAAUUUUCCGGUCACACUAUUAAAAUUCCUGUCACAUGCA